UGUGUGUCACCAUCAUCUUUGCAAGGCU
This 28-nucleotide non-coding RNA is filed under the name Mus musculus (house mouse). Lineage: Eukaryota; Metazoa; Chordata; Mammalia; Rodentia; Muridae. The record is from RNAcentral.